RNAcentral lists this ribosomal RNA (460 nucleotides) under uncultured bacterium. Its description in RNAcentral is "partial 16S ribosomal RNA". It matches the Rfam family "Bacterial small subunit ribosomal RNA", at positions 338 to 795 of the family's 1533-position model. The record is from RNAcentral.
CCUACGGGUGGCUGCAGUGAGGAAUAUUGGUCAAUGGGCGAGAGCCUGAACCAGCCAAGUCGCGUGAAGGAUGACGGCCCUACGGGUUGUAAACUUCUUUUGUCAGGGAGCAAUUGAGUCCACGUGUGGUCUUAGCGAGAGUACCUGAAGAAAAAGCAUCGGCUAACUCCGUGCCAGCAGCCGCGGUAAUACGGAGGAUGCGCGCGUUAUCCGGAUUUAUUGGGUUUAAAGGGUGCGUAGGCGGGCUGUUAAGUCAGCGGUCAAAUGUCGGGGCUCAACCCCGGCCUGCCGUUGAAACUGGCGGCCUCGAGUGGGCGAGAAGUAUGCGGAAUGCGUGGUGUAGCGGUGAAAUGCAUAGAUAUCACGCAGAACUCCGAUUGCGAAGGCAGCAUACCGGCGCCCGACUGACGCUGAGGCACGAAAGCGUGGGUAUCGAACAGGAUUAGAUACCCCUGUAGUC